Molecule: ribosomal RNA, 1685 nt
Filed under: metagenome
Description: bacterial LSU rRNA
Rfam family: Bacterial large subunit ribosomal RNA
Source: RNAcentral
AGGUCUGUGAAGGUGUCUUGAGAAGGAUGCUGGAGAUAUCAGAAGUGCGAAUGCUGACAUGAGUAGCGAUAAAGGGAGUGAAAAGCUCCCUCGCCGAAAGCCCAAGGUUUCCUACGCAACGUUCAUCGGCGUAGGGUGAGUCGGCCCCUAAGGCGAGGCAGAAAUGCGUAGUCGAUGGGAAACAGGUCAAUAUUCCUGUACCGAUUCUAGAUGAGAUGUGGGGACGGAGAAGGUUAGGUCAGCCAUCUGUUGGAAUAGGUGGUUUAAGCGUGUAGGUGUGCCCCUUAGGCAAAUCCGGGGGGCUUAGCUGAGGCGUGACGACGAGGUGCUACGGCACUGAAGUGAUUGAUACCAAGCUUCCAGGAAAAGCCACUAAGCUUCAGUCUAGAAUUGACCGUACCGCAAACCGACACAGGUGGGCAGGAUGAAAAUUCUAAGGCGCUUGAGAGAACUCAGGAGAAGGAACUCGGCAAAUUAACACCGUAACUUCGGGAGAAGGUGUGCCCCGGUAGGUUGUAGCGCUUCGCGCGCGAAGGCCGAUGGGGUUGCAGUGAAAUGGUGGCUGCGACUGUUUAAUAAAAACACAGCUCUCUGCAAACACGAAAGUGGACGUAUAGGGAGUGACGCCUGCCCGGUGCCGGAAGGUUAAUUGAUGGGGUGCAAGCUCUUGAUCGAAGCCCCGGUAAACGGCGGCCGUAACGAUAACGGUCCUAAGGUAGCGAAAUUCCUUGUCGGGUAAGUUCCGACCUGCACGAAUGGCGUAACGAUGGCCACACUGUCUCCUCCUGAGACUCAGCGAAGUUGAAAUGUUUGUGAAGAUGCAAUCUCCCCGCGGCAAGACGGAAAGACCCCAUGAACCUUUACUGUAGCUUUGCAUUGGACUUUGAACCGGUCUGUGUAGGAUAGGUGGGAGACUAUGAAACCGGGACGCUAGUCUCGGUGGAGUCAACCUUGAAAUACCACCCUGGUUUGUUUGAGGUUCUAACCUUGAUCCGUGGAUCCGGAUCGGGGACCGUGCAUGGUGGGCAGUUUGACUGGGGCGGUCUCCUCCCAAAAGGUAACGGAGGAGUACGGAGGUACGCUUAGGGCGGUCGGACAUCGCCCAUAAAGUGCAAUGGCAAAAGCGUGCUUGACUGCGAGACCCACAAGUCGAGCAGGUGCGAAAGCAGGUCAUAGUGAUCCGGUGGUUCUGUAUGGAAGGGCCAUCGCUCAACGGAUAAAAGGUACUCUGGGGAUAACAGGCUUAUACCGCCCAAGAGUUCAUAUCGACGGCGGUGUUUGGCACCUCGAUGUCGGCUCAUCUCAUCCUGGGGCUGUAGCCGGUCCCAAGGGUAUGGCUGUUCGCCAUUUAAAGAGGUACGUGAGCUGGGUUUAAAACGUCGUGAGACAGUUUGGUCCCUAUCUGCCGUGGGCGCUGGAAAUUUGAAGGGGGCUGCUCCUAGUACGAGAGGACCGGAGUGGACGAACCUCUGGUGUACCGGUUAUGACGCCAGUCGUAUCGCCAGGUAGCUAUGUUCGGAAGAGAUAAACGCUGAAAGCAUCUAAGCGUGAAACUCGCCUUAAGAUAAGAUUUCCCGGAGUCUUGAACUCCUUAAAGGGUCGUCGAAGACCACGACGUUGAUAGGUCAGGUGUGGAAGCGCAGUAAUGCGUUAAGCUAACUGAUACUAAUUGCCCGUAAGGCUUG